RNAcentral lists this long non-coding RNA (284 nucleotides) under Gopherus agassizii (Agassiz's desert tortoise). Its description in RNAcentral is "lncRNA (ENSGAGG00000009367.1)". The record is from RNAcentral. Lineage: Eukaryota; Metazoa; Chordata; Testudines; Testudinidae.
CGGCGCUGCAGGCGGGGCCUGCCCCGCACGUCACCGGCAAGAUGGCGGCGCCCGGCUGGCCUAGCCUGGCGGAGCGGGGGAGCCCCCUGCCCCAACUCGGAGCUUUGGUGCAUUGAUCCUCUGUGAACUGCUCAGUUUGGAGUCUUUGCUAUUCAUUGAAUGCAUACAUCAACCUCUGAGGAAAGACUUCCUGUAAACACAUCUAUUUUGCUUUAAGUGUAAGUAGCCUAUCUCUUGAGCUGUAAAUUUUCUAAGAUUAUAAUAAAUGCUCAUGUAGUUGUUCA